UGAGGAAUAUUGGGCAAUGCCCGCAAGGGUGACCCAGCAACGCCGCGUGGAGGAUGAAUGUCGUAAGAUUGUAAACUCCUGUUAGAGGGGAAGAAUAGUACCGGUUGGACCGGUAUAUGACUGUACCCUCAGAGAAAGCCCCGGCUAACUACGUGCCAGCAGCCGCGGUAAUACGUAGGGGGCAAGCGUUGUCCGGAUUUACUGGGUGUAAAGGGCGCGCAGGCGGGAUAAAAAGUCAGUGGUGAAAUCCUACAGCUUAACUGUAGAACUGCCUUUGAUACUUUUAUUCUUGAGUUCGGGAGAGAGAGACGGAAUUCCAGGUGUAGUGGUGAAAUACGUAGAUAUCUGGAAGAACACCAGUUGCGAAGGCGGUCUCUUGGUCCGACACUGACGCUGAGGCGCGAAAGCGUGGGGA
Molecule: ribosomal RNA, 415 nt
Filed under: uncultured bacterium
Lineage: Bacteria
Description: bacterial SSU rRNA
Rfam family: Bacterial small subunit ribosomal RNA
Source: RNAcentral